Molecule: unclassified non-coding RNA, 381 nt
Filed under: soil metagenome
Description: partial contains 5.8S ribosomal RNA, internal transcribed spacer 2, and large subunit ribosomal RNA
Rfam family: 5.8S ribosomal RNA (bases 1-120)
Source: RNAcentral
GAUGAAGAACGUAGCGAAAUGCGAUAAGUAAUGUGAAUUGCAGAAUUCAGUGAAUCAUCGAAUCUUUGAACGCACCUUGCGCUCCUUGGUAUUCCGAGGAGCAUGCCUGUUUGAGUGUCAUUAAUAUAUCAACCUCUUCAGCUUAUGCUUGUUGAGUGUUGGAUGGUGGGGGUUUGCUGGUGUCUUAUGAAGUCAGCUCCUCUGAAAUGCAUUAGCGGAACAAUUUGUUGACCGUUCAUUGGUGUGAUAAAAAUAUCUACGCUAUUGACGUCAGUCAGUUCAGCUUCUAACAGUCCAUUGACUUGGACAAAUUUUUCAUUAAUGCGACCUCAAAUCAGGUAGGACUACCCGCUGAACUUAAGCAUAUCAAUAAGCGGAGGA